Molecule: non-coding RNA, 552 nt
Organism: Cinara cedri
Lineage: Eukaryota; Metazoa; Arthropoda; Insecta; Hemiptera; Aphididae
Source: the annotation of a GenBank genome assembly
CUCAGAUUCCAUAAUCUAUACGAAAUUACGAUUAUAUUUUAAAUUGAGUAAGUGUACAAAUAUUAAAAAUAUCUACUGCUCAAUUAUAUUUGAACCGUAUGAAGUCUGGGGGAUAUUUUACUGGUGGGGUGUUUAUUAGUUGCCCUCGGCUAAUAUUUUUGACAUUAAAACAAUAUACCAGUUACCCUCAACAAAAUAUACUAGUUGCUCAAACAUGGGUAAUAUUCAGAGUAGUGUAUUCUGAAUACUUUUAAAAUAAUUUUUUUCAGAAGUAUUCAAUGCUGUAUCAUGCAUAUUUUUAGAAAGUAUGUAAUCCCUUAAAAAAAUAUUUUUUGUCUCGUUUUAGAAUAUUUUUCUUUCUACAAGAAAAUUGUGAAACAAUUGCAUAUUAUAAUGGUGUUAUUUGAUGGCGCAAAUCGUUAUCAAACAAAAUUUGUUUCAGAAAUGUACAAUUAUUUAUCUAAAAGUACCACAAAACACUUGAAUUCUUAAAUGAUGCACCAACCGUAAUAAAAACAUUUAUUAAAUUCAACACAUUGCUACCCAGCAGUG